This is a long non-coding RNA of Coregonus clupeaformis (lake whitefish), 311 nucleotides long. RefSeq lists it as uncharacterized. The record is from RefSeq and is a predicted model, not a curated record. NCBI's taxonomy places the organism in Eukaryota, Metazoa, Chordata, Actinopteri, Salmoniformes, Salmonidae. The transcript is spliced from 3 exons.
GCCUACAAAAAGACGCCAUUGCUAUUUCUCUCUAUAGUAAUGUUGUAUUAACUAGUCUCUCUAUGUCCCUGUUCUGUGUGUGUAUGAACCAGUGAUUAUUCACUCUCCCCCUGCGAUGUCAGCUGACCAGGGGAUGAGCCAAGCCACCCAACCUCGCUACCCCGAGACCGUCUGGAGGCUUUCCUCUCCUCUGAGGACCCAGCGAGGGUGGAGCACAGUCUGAGAGCUGUUGAGGGAGAACACUUCUACAGCCAGAGAGGGGCAGUCAAGAAAUGGAACGGCAAGGCCACAGAACAUGUCAUACGCAGAGC